RNAcentral lists this ribosomal RNA (449 nucleotides) under uncultured bacterium. RNAcentral's name for it is "partial 16S ribosomal RNA". It matches the Rfam family "Bacterial small subunit ribosomal RNA", at positions 29 to 523 of the family's 1533-position model. The record is from RNAcentral.
AGCGAACGCUGGCGGCAGGCCUAACACAUGCAAGUCGAACGAAGUCUUCGGACUUAGUGGCGGACGGGUGAGUAACACGUGGGAACGUGCCAUUGGGUUCGGAAUAACUCAGGGAAACUUGUGCUAAUACCGAAUGUGCCCUUCGGGGGAAAGAUUUAUCGCCUUUAGAGCGGCCCGCGUCUGAUUAGCUAGUUGGUGAGGUAAAGGCUCACCAAGGCGACGAUCAGGAGCUGGUCUGAGAGGAUGAUCAGCCACAUUGGGACUGAGACACGGCCCAACCUCCUACGGGAGGCAGCAGUGGGGAAUCUUGCGCAAUGGGCGAAAGCCUGACGCAGCCAUGCCGCGUGAAUGAUGAAGGUCUUAGGAUUGUAAAAUUCUUUCACCGGGGACGAUAAUGACGGUACCCGGAGAAGAAGCCCCGGCUAACUUCGUGCCAGCCGCCGCCGUAA